Molecule: non-coding RNA, 1776 nt
Organism: Zootermopsis nevadensis
Lineage: Eukaryota; Metazoa; Arthropoda; Insecta; Blattodea; Termopsidae
Source: RefSeq, a predicted model, not a curated record
AAGAAGGACCCAGCUGAAUGGGGUUAGAAUAAGUUUCGUUUGGAAGCUUUUAUAUAUGCUGUGACCAAUUACGAAUGUGUGUUUGUGCAGGAGGAAACAACAGGGCAUCAUUCAAGCUCGGUACCGAAAGGUAUGACCCCGCAGAAGACGCGUGGACCGAGAUCCCUUACAUGACCGUCAAUUCAAAUUACUUAAUCGCAGAAGUCAUCGACGACAUGAUGUUGCUCAUCGGUGGACGUUGCAAGGGAGAAACCAACUUCAGUGCCAAAUGUUACAAUGACAACGAAAAUCAAUGGUACUUGGCGGCAGGAAUGAAUGUUCAUAGAAUCGAGUUUUCGACUUGUGUCAUCAAGAACCUACCGAAUUCAAGCGAUUACGCCUACAAACAAAGAGAAAAAUUAAUUAAGGAGAUACGUGAAAAAAUGUUGGAAUGGGAGAGUAAGUAACCUUCCACACACACUGAUCCUUGAACUGUUAUAUCUACGGUUUCAAUCCUAGUAGCUUGGCCGGUGCAGUUUCUGAUACUACAUUUCCUAUUCUGGUGAGCGGAAAGGGUAAAAGGUUUUCUCAGGAUACCUUGUUAGUCGGUGGGCAAGGAUCUCCGACUCUCAGGGAAUCUACGGGGAGGCCUUAAUUGGAGCUGAUAAUUAUUGUAACAAAUACAUUUUCUAAAUUUUAUUUAUUUAAAUUUUACAAUUAUGUUCACUAUACGUUUGGCAUUUCGUUUUGUAAGAAACUCUAUUGGCGACUUUAAGAAAUUUUGAAUGAAUUGUGACGUUCGUUAUAGCGAAUGUUCGUAAACCGAGAGUUGCCUGUAUUUUGCAGUUGAUUACAUCCAUGACGAACACAUUAAUUUUAAAUAAGUACCUUACGAAAAUAAUGUAGAAAUCUGGGAAUUGCAAAAAUAAAAAAUAAAAAAGAGAAAUAUUGUUUGCAGCAAAGAAGGAGAAAUUAUUUCUCCUCGUUAUUAUCUGCACAAGAAGUCUUAUUGAAAUUAAUUAUUUUACAGACGUUUAAUUUUAUCUAAAAUAUUACCAUCCAUCAACACACAGCAGUUUCUCUUUGCGUCUUGUAUUAAAUAAAUCCACUUGUGCCGACAUGUUUCGAGUUACGACAUCGUCUUCAUGUUACUAGGGGAAGGUUAAAUAUUCUUGUUUCAUGAACAUCGUUUACAAAAACGUCAUUAUGAAGGCAACAGACUCAGAAUUUUGUAUUGAUUUCUGACCUACGUGUGAUACUUAAAAAAAUUGCAAAUUAUAUUUGACUAGGUUGCCCCAGUAUAACGGGUAAUUGUGCUAUGUCCCUGAGGAAGUACCAACCUUUUCAAAUGAUGUGCUUUCAGUUAACAGAUGUAUUUACAGUGGCGGCCCGCCCAUAAGAGCUGAAUCUCUUUGAUUUUAUUAUAAUAAAAUCAAAGUAACAGGUAUUGUUUUGCUACAAGCUCGCUUGUGCGUUGACAAUGAAAGAAGUUAUUUCGAACAUUAAGAUGCUUAAGUACGUACGUUUUAUUGAGUAUGAACGUUAAACAUGAAUGUAACACCAUUUCUAUAUAACAAAGUAUUUUCUUCAAUAAAAAUAAUUUAAUCAUUCGGCGCGUGUCUCUGAGUUUCCUUAAAUUCCAUUCAUCACAGCACGUAGCAGUUGGGAUUUUGGCCAAUACAUGCUAUCACAUAGCGUCCAAAUUGGAAUUCAUCUUACAUUUCCAGUCUUAUAAUAAAUUGUAAACGCAUCACAGAUAUAAAUAAAUGUAUCUACAGAUGCCCGUACGAUAUGUGA